This 752-nucleotide ribosomal RNA is filed under the name uncultured Chloroflexota bacterium. RNAcentral's name for it is "bacterial SSU rRNA". It matches the Rfam family "Bacterial small subunit ribosomal RNA", at positions 8 to 796 of the family's 1533-position model. Lineage: Bacteria; Bacillati; Chloroflexota. The record is from RNAcentral.
AGAGUUUGAUCAUGGCUCAGGAUUAACGCUGGCGGCGUGCCUAAUGCAUGCAAGUCGCACGCUCACCCUUCGGGGCGGGAGUGGCGAACGGCUGAGGAACACGUGCGUACCGACCCUGCGGUGGGGAAUACCGGCUGGAAACAGCCAACAAUACCGCAUACGCUUGGCACCAAGGAAAGCCUUCGGGUGCCGCAGGACGGGCGCGCGGCCCAUCAGGUUGUUGGCGGGGUAAUGGCCCACCAAGCCGGUGACGGGUCGCUGGUCUGUGAGGACGAUCAGCCAGACUGGGACUGAGACACGGCCCAGACACCUACGGGUGGCAGCAGCAAGGAAUCUUCGGCACUGGGCGCAAGCCUGACCGAGCAACGCCGCGUGGAGGACGACGGCCUUCGGGUUGUAAACUCCUUUCGGGGGGGACGAAACGGACGGUACCCUCAGAAGCAGCCCCGGCUAACUCUGUGCCAGCAGCCGCGGUAAUACAGAGGGGGCAAGCGUUGUCCGGAAUUACUGGGCGUAAAGCGCGUGUAGGCGGAGCGUUAAGUCUACCCGUGAAAUGCCGGAGCUCGACUCCGUGCACGCCGGGGGAUACUGGAGGGCUGGAGACAGGUAGAGGCAGGCGGAAUUCCGGGUGUAGCGGUGAAAUGCAUAGAUACCAUCAGGAACCCCGAUUGCGAAGGCAGCCUGCUAGGCUGUUACUGACGCUGAGGCACGAAAGCGUGGGGAGCGAACAGGAUUAGAUACCCUCGUAGUCC